GACAGGUAUAGGUCAAAGGUCAAAAAGAUACACAUUCUAACUCUCUAUAUCUAGAUCAAAGGUCAUGAUCAUAAAAAUAUUUAUAGUUAUGUUAAAUCUGGAUCACAUCCAUUCGUUACCAUACAUGGUGCGGCCAUGUGUUUUCCACCCCACACACGUUGCACACAUGUUCUUUCUAACACUCUGUGGUAGGUCAUAAAAAUAUAUAUAGUUAUGUUAAAUCUGGAUCACAUCCAUUCGUGACACAAACGUUACCAUACCUGGUAUGGCCAUAUGUUUUCCACCCACACAAGUUGCACACACAUGUUCUUUCUAACACUCUGUGGUAGGUCAUAAAAAUAUAUAUAGUUAUGUUAAAUCGGGUUCCCAUCUAUUCCUGACACAAACGUUACUAGUUAUGUUAAAUCGGG
Molecule: long non-coding RNA, 410 nt
Organism: Ictalurus punctatus (channel catfish)
Lineage: Eukaryota; Metazoa; Chordata; Actinopteri; Siluriformes; Ictaluridae
Source: Ensembl